AAAAUGACUCUCGGCAACGGAUAUCUCGGCUCUCGCAUCGAUGAAGAACGUAGCGAAAUGCGAUACUUGGUGUGAAUUGCAGAAUCCCGUGAACCAUCGAGUCUUUGAACGCAAGUUGCGCCCCAAGCCUUUAGGUCGAGGGCACGCCUGCCUGGGUGUCACACA
This 165-nucleotide ribosomal RNA is filed under the name Oxalis obtusa. RNAcentral describes it as "5.8S ribosomal RNA". It matches the Rfam family "5.8S ribosomal RNA". Rfam says of the family: 5.8S ribosomal RNA (5.8S rRNA) is a component of the large subunit of the eukaryotic ribosome. RNAcentral also lists the same sequence under 1 other name. Lineage: Eukaryota; Viridiplantae; Streptophyta; Magnoliopsida; Oxalidales; Oxalidaceae. The record is from RNAcentral.